UCAAGAGAACGUGAAAUCGCUGGAGUGGAACCGGAGAGAGUUGACGUAGUCAGGUAACUAAGUUUGCCAAAGUCGCUUAAUUGUGACGGCGGGAGAUGUAUGUUGCCUAUGGCUGCGCUGACAGCACUGGCUGUGCGUUCCGAACCGUUUGCGUUGCCCACCCAUCACUGGGUGGUGUCUUGCUUUCGGGUAGGUUUGUCGUGGCUAGUGUUUUAUCCUGCUUGCAGGGUGUCAGUGUGAAAGUCGACCACCUCUCCGAC
This 260-nucleotide ribosomal RNA is filed under the name Oesophagostomum venulosum. Its description in RNAcentral is "partial 28S ribosomal RNA". Lineage: Eukaryota; Metazoa; Nematoda; Chromadorea; Rhabditida; Strongylidae. The record is from RNAcentral.